This is a non-coding RNA of Chthoniobacter flavus Ellin428, 155 nucleotides long. The record is from Rfam. NCBI's taxonomy places the organism in Bacteria, Pseudomonadati, Verrucomicrobiota, Spartobacteria, Chthoniobacterales, Chthoniobacteraceae.
GAGAGCCGGAUGCGGUAAAUCUGCACGUCCGGUUCGAGGAGCGGGGACAGGAAACGGAGCCACGGAUGAGAAUGAGGCACCGGCACUAUGGUGAAAACCGCCGGCAACAGCGACUCCCUCAUUCCUACUGCCACCGCGCCUGUCCUCGACUCUAC